This 253-nucleotide ribosomal RNA is filed under the name uncultured bacterium. RNAcentral's name for it is "partial 16S ribosomal RNA". It matches the Rfam family "Bacterial small subunit ribosomal RNA", at positions 524 to 776 of the family's 1533-position model. The record is from RNAcentral.
UACGUAGGGACCAAGCGUUGUCCGGAAUCAUUGGGCGUAAAGAGCGUGUAGGCGGCUUGUUAAGUCUUGCGUGAAAUCUCGGGGCUCAACCCCGAGCGGUCGUGAGAAACCGGCAGGCUAGAGUGCGGGAGAGGAGAGUGGAAUUCCUGGUGUAGCGGUGAAAUGCGCAGAUAUCAGGAAGAACACCCGUGGCGAAGGCGGCUCUCUGGAACGCAACUGACGCUGAGACGCGAAAGCGUGGGGAGCAAACAGG